Molecule: ribosomal RNA, 492 nt
Filed under: uncultured bacterium
Lineage: Bacteria
Description: partial 16S ribosomal RNA
Rfam family: Bacterial small subunit ribosomal RNA
Source: RNAcentral
AGUGAACGCUGGCGGCAGGCCUAACACAUGCAAGUCGAACGGCAGCACAGUAAGAGCUUGCUCUUACGGGUGGCGAGUGGCGGACGGGUGAGGAAUAUAUCGGAAUCUACUUUUUCGGGGGGGAUCACGUAGGGAAGCUUACUCUAAUACCGCAUACGACCUACGGUUGAAAGCAUGGGAUCUUCGGACCUUGCGCGAUUGAAUGAGCCGAUGUCGGACUAGCUAGUUGGCGGGUUAAUGGCCAACCAAGGCGACGAUCCGUAGCUGGUCUGAGUGGCGGAUCAGCCACACUGGAACUGAGACAGGGACAAGGCGACUACGAGACGCAGCAGUCGGGAACAGUAGGCAAUGGGCGCGAGCAUGAUCCAGCGAUCCCGAGUGUGAGAAGAAGGCCCUCGGUGUGUAAAGCCCUUUUGCUGGGAAAGAAAAGCUGCCGGUUGAGACCAAGCUGUACUGACGGUAACGAAAAAAUAAGCACCGGCUAACUACGUG